RNAcentral lists this ribosomal RNA (301 nucleotides) under uncultured bacterium. Its description in RNAcentral is "partial 16S ribosomal RNA". It matches the Rfam family "Bacterial small subunit ribosomal RNA", at positions 509 to 807 of the family's 1533-position model. The record is from RNAcentral.
CAGUCGCCACGGUAAUACGAAGGGGACUAGCGUUGCUCGGAUUUACUGGGCGUAAAGGGCGCGUAGGUGGUUAUGUAAGUGAGAUGUGAAAUCCCCGGGCUCAACCUGGGAACUGCAUCUUAUACUGCGUAGCUGGAGUGCAGUAGAGGGUAGUGGAAUUUCCGGUGUAGCGGUGAAAUGCGUAGAUAUCGGAAGGAACACCAGUGGCGAAGGCGGCUACCUGGACUGACACUGACACUGAGGCGCGAAAGCGUGGGGAGCAAACAGGAUUAGAUACCCCGGUAGUCCCUGUCUCUUAUAC